GACGAACGCUGGCGGCGUGCCUAAUACAUGCAAGUAGAACGCUGAAGGAGGAGCUUGCUUCUCUGGAUGAGUUGCGAACGGGUGAGUAACGCGUAGGUAACCUGCCUGGUAGCGGGGGAUAACUAUUGGAAACGAUAGCUAAUACCGCAUAAGAGUAGAUGUUGCAUGACAUUUGCUUAAAAGGUGCAAUUGCAUCACUACCAGAUGGACCUGCGUUGUAUUAGCUAGUUGGUGGGGUAACGGCUCACCAAGGCGACGAUACAUAGCCGACCUGAGAGGGGGAGUGGCCACAUGGGGACUGAACAACGGCCCGAAUCCCUAAGGGGGGCAGCAGUAGGGAAUUUUCGGCAAUGGACGGAAGUCUGACCGAGCAACGCCGCGGGAGUGAAAAAGGUUUUCGGAUCGUAAAGCUCUGUUGUAAGAAAAGAACGAGUGUGAGAGUGGAAAGUUCAACCUGUGACGGUUUCUUACCAAAAAGGGGCGGCUAACUCCGU
This 494-nucleotide ribosomal RNA is filed under the name uncultured bacterium. Its description in RNAcentral is "partial 16S ribosomal RNA". It matches the Rfam family "Bacterial small subunit ribosomal RNA", at positions 28 to 506 of the family's 1533-position model. The record is from RNAcentral.